RNAcentral lists this long non-coding RNA (672 nucleotides) under Prunus dulcis (almond). RNAcentral describes it as "sRNA ncRNA". Lineage: Eukaryota; Viridiplantae; Streptophyta; Magnoliopsida; Rosales; Rosaceae. The record is from RNAcentral.
AGCUCACCAAAUUUCCCCCAAUUUUUUCCAAAAUCACAACCCUAGGUUCCCCCUGCAACAAAACAACUGGAGAUCCCUAAAAUUGGCAUAGUCGUUGCUCGAAAUUGGGGUCUCCUUGCUGGCAAUUGGGGGCAUUUUGGCGAAUCUAUGUUUUGGUUCAAUUGAAAAAGUUGAAAAAGAUAUGGAAGUGAGAGAAGCAAGGUAGGCAAGGUAGGCUUCACGAUGUUAUUGUGGAAAUGUGGCAAGAAUUAUAACUUCUUGGACUGAUUCAAACUCAGGAAGACUAUUUCAAGUUUGUCCACUCUCAAAGGUAAGGUUCUUGGAUCAAUUCAAAUCUAGGUUUGUUGUUAAUGGGUUGAAACAAUGAAUUUUUUGUGGUGGGUUGAUGCAGGGAAGAGUUAACAAAGGAUGUGGUUUUUGGGAGUGGGUUGAUGAUGAAAUGUAUGAUCGUUCCAAGAUGGUGAUACCUUGCUGAGGAAAAUUGAUAGGUUGGAAGAGGAGAAUGCAAAGAUUUAUGGAUGUAAGAGGUGUUGUAAUGUGUUAAUGGAUGUAAUAUGGUUGUAUUUGGCAAUGUAAUAGGUGUUGUAAUAUGUUAAUUUUGCAAUGUAAUAGGUGUUGUAAUAUGUUAACUGUGUUUUGGUAUGAAUUGGAUAUGAAGUUUGCAAGUUUGGA